Populus trichocarpa (black cottonwood) is the source of this 1895-nucleotide RNA transcript. It is a transcript of the gene named methyl-CpG-binding domain-containing protein 2, with no coding region annotated. The transcript is spliced from 7 exons. Lineage: Eukaryota; Viridiplantae; Streptophyta; Magnoliopsida; Malpighiales; Salicaceae. The record is from RefSeq and is a predicted model, not a curated record.
AAGCAAAAGCUAAAAAUAAAUAAAUAAAAACGGUCUCCUAUCUAUCCAAGCAAGGAAAAGAGACCAAAGCAGAGAGAUUGUAGCCUGCGAAAACACAGAAACAGAACGGCACUCCCACUUCUCUAUCACACAUUCUUGACCGUACGAUCCAGUCAACUUUCAUACAACCAACUGCACUGAUCACAUCACCUUCACCAACUGUUAUGGGAGGAUUUUCCGUGUUCAUAUUUUAAAGAGCAGAUAUAGGUGGUUGAGGCAUAAUCAGAUGCAGUCCCAUCCUGGAGAAACUUUCCAUGUGUUAAAAAAGGAAGGAGAUGACUGCACUGGUUCACGUUACACAGGUCAUUUGAAUAGCUCUCUUCAGGAACCAAUUGAAGUUUCUUCUUCUUCGAAUGAGGAUAACUCUGAUGAUACAUGGGAUAUAGAUGACCAAUCAAUUGAAGAUUCCUCUAAACAGUUGGUUCUUUAUGACCCUUUGGCUAAUGAUGCUGGUGAAAUUGAACCUGUUCCUCAACCGAUCCUGUCCCACCAUCCAUUUAGAAGAUACUCAGACCUGAAUGUGCCUUCUAGAGUUUUGCCAUCUGUAGGAGCUUUUACUGUGCAAUGUGCCAAAUGUUUCAAGUGGAGGCUCAUCCCAACAAAACAGAAGUAUGAAGAAUUACGUGAACAUAUUCUGGAAGAGCCUUUUUUUUGUGAAACUGCUCGUGAGUGGCGGCCUGAUAUAUCAUGUGAUGAUCCAACAGACAUUGAUCAAGAUGGGAGUAGGCUGUGGGCAAUUGAUAAACCUAACAUUGCUCAGCCCCCUCCCGGGUGGCAAAGGUUGCUGAGAAUCAGGGGCGAAGGAAGUACCAAAUUUGCAGAUGUGUACUAUCAAGCACCGUCAGGCAAGAGACUUCGCUCAAUGGUGGAAAUCCAAAAGUACUUAAUUGAACAUCCAGAGUAUAUGAGAGAUGGUUUAACUCUCACACGGUUUUCAUUUCAAAUACCAAAGCCUCUGCAGGAAAACUAUGUGAGAAAAAAGCGUCCUCGUUUAUCAGCUUCAUGUGAUGAUGCUAGACCUCUUGAACCUGGUGAAGACAUAAAUCUGGAGGAAUGAGGUUCUGUAUUCAGACUCGACUAACUUUUGUCUUCUCACUUCUCAGCUUAGGGUAUGCAUGACUAAAGCAUCUGAAGCAAUUUAAAUGAAAUUUGCCCCUUUUCAUUUAGUUCUCUAAAGUUGCCACACGUUUUCUGGAGGAUUGCAAAAGUUGCACAGUUUGUAGUUUCUAAUUCCCUUGGUUAGGAUGUUUUAUUUUUUAUUUUUUUCAAUGUAAUUUUUUUCCCAGUUCUACAUGAAACAUAUAUAAAGUUAUUUAAAUAUGUGAGGGCCAGACCAUACUGCUACCAGUAUGCUUUUGCAUUCCAAAGAGGCCUCAAGCACCAUUCUCUUCUCACUUUUUCAAUGGAUUCUAGAAUCUGGGCCUGUCUUCAAAGAACAGCAAAGUUGAUUACACUGUGUUUUGAGUUUUAUUUUUCUUGUGAGGUGAAACCUGAAACUGAUCUGUCUAAUAUAUGUACCAUAUGUGGGUUCCUUACAUUAAUGCAGUGCACUCUUGCUGCUCCAUGUAAGGAGUAUAUUUUGUGGUCGAUCCAUGAAACCCAACACUAUUCAGGUUGGAUUGAUUCUGUAUUUAGAUCAUCUGGGUCUAUGUGGUUCUGGAACGUGGGGGCUGUCUCAUCGGAAUUGCAAAUCCCCUUAAAUGGGUUGGUCCAGGUGAUUGUACAGAACUCCAGCUUGGCCGGCCAGCAAUCCUACCUCCACCCUUGAUUCAGUCCUCUGCUUAUCUUCCUUUCUACUGGCCAGUAAAGAAGAAAGCAAGGACACCAUCGAAACAGAGUCACAGGACUAAUCCAGU